Anolis sagrei ordinatus is the source of this 1143-nucleotide non-coding RNA. NCBI's taxonomy places the organism in Eukaryota, Metazoa, Chordata, Lepidosauria, Squamata, Anolidae. The record is from RefSeq and is a predicted model, not a curated record.
CCCACUCCUGUCUGUCACGGUCCUGUUCCUAAAGAAGGGUCGCCGCGGCCUUUUUUCGGGGCUGCAAGAAAAGCAAACGGAGCCAAAGGAAGGCCUGCGCGCGCCUGCGCAGAAACGUGUGUCAAUGGGAGGGAGGGAGGGAGGGAGGGAAUGAGGGAAGGGGCCGCUUCCCUUUAAAUAUGCAAAUAAACUCUGCAGGGGGCGGAGUUAAGAGAGCCAGCUAACCUACCUGUUUCCCGGGCGGCCAAUCAGGAGCGCGGCUGCUCCGUGAGGGCGGGAGAGAGGCGAUGGCGUCAUGCAGGCCCCGCCCCCUCUGCGGCUGCCUCUGUUUCCGGAAGGAAGAGAGAGAGAUCGAGGAAGGAAGGAAGGAAGGAAGGAAGGAAGGAAGGAAGGAAGGAAGGAAGGAAGGAAGGAAGGAAGGAAGGAAGGAAGGAAGGAAGGAAGGAAGGAAGGAAGGAAGGAGAAGGCCUUGGAUCUCUUCCUCGCCAGGGAAAGGAGGAUUCCGUGGAGCCACCUCUUGGAUGCAGUCAUGAAAUCAGAAAUAUAAAAAGAAGAAAUCAUCUCCAGAUGAUGGUGUGGCUGAAUUCUUGACCUCACUUACAGAUAACAAAGGAAAAAAGAAGAUUCGAGUAUCUGUAUUACAAUUAAACCCCGGUAUCUCUGUUGACAUGGAGGAGAAAGCAUCUAAAUGCCUGGAAUGUGGAAAGAGUUUCACUCAGAGGGAACAUCUGCAGCAACAUCAAAGGACUCACACUGGGGAGAAACCUUAUCCAUGCCUGGAGUGCGGACAGAGCUUCUCUCAGAGUGCAGAUCUACAUAAACAUCAAAGGACUCACACCGGGGAGAAACCUUAUACAUGCCUGGAGUGCGGACAGAGUUUCUCUCAGAGUGGAAGCCUGCGUUCACAUGAAAGGAUUCACACUGGGGAGAAACCCUAUGCAUGCCUGGGGUGUGGAAAGAGCUUCACUCAGAGUGCACAUCUACAUUCACAUCAAAGGACUCACACGGGUGAGAAACCCUAUACCUGCCAGGAGUGUGGACAGAGCUUCACUGAGAGUAGAAGUCUACGUUCACACCAAAGGACUCACACUGGGGAGAAACCCUAUACAUGCCUUGAGUGUGGAAAGAGCUUCACCCAGAGUG